CUGUGUCGCUGUGUCGCUGUGUCCCUAUGGGCAGUCGGCGUGUCGCGUAAUUACAAUUGCGAACAAAGUAAACGAGCGCGUGAAACGGCGUCCAGCCGGAGUUUCUGUUUGAACAGCAAACAGGGACGCGGGCGACGAUCGACGUGAAAAAUCGGCCGGCGUUUAUCAACGGGUAGCAACCAUUUCCAAGACUUUCCAAGGCGGUGUAGUUCUGAUCGUGUGACUGCGUCAGAGAAAGAAAGAGAGAAUUCAUGAAUUCGCAGCAAGGAAGAAGCUUCAAAGAACGCUUACAAUCACGCUUACACUUUAUACCUCGUGCAAUAUUGCGGUUCCCCAAAACGAAGGAAUGAAAAAAUACGCGAGAGAAGAAAUUUGAGGUUAGGUCUGGUUAGAAUCUUGCCAGAAAGAAAGAAGUGCUCCUGUUCUAUUCUUCAUUCGGUGUACGGCGAUUCCACUUGGGUGGAAGAAGGAGAUGAGAGAGAAAUUCGUCUGGCCGUUUAUCGGUGCAAGAGGAAUGGUGGCUCGUAGCCGGCGGCUAAGAGAGAAUUCUGGGGGAUCGGCUUCCCCUUCAUCUCCUGUGUUCGCUGUCUCUCUUCUUGCUCCUCUUUUCCUCCCGCCCUUUUCUUUUUUUCAACUGUGUCGUUUGAAACAUCGCAACCGGAGGCGACGGAUGCGCGAACGAACGCACAAGGAUCGACACGACGCGGCGCGGUGAAACGUGGAAAUAUGUAAAGUAUAGCGAACGGAUGAACGACCGAGACGGUAGUGGAUGCGUCGUCAUGUUGCUGCUCGUUUUCAAAAGGACAGCAACUGCCUUCGUGCUCCGGCGUUGCUCGCGAAUACUCGCCUUCAAUUGGAAUUUUUAAUCUCGAGCACUUUUGUUUUUUGGCUUCAUCGAGUUUUGGAGAAAUAAAUAGAAGAACGAGAUAUGUUAGAAUGUAUGUAAUAAUAAUUUUUUUCUAGUGGCAAAAUUUUUUCAGAUAGACGGGGUAUGGAGUUAUACUAAGGUUCGAUGGAGAGGAAGUUAAUUUUAUUGCAUAAUCUGUUACUCUGGUUGCAUAUGCGUACUAACUAUUGUGUUGGUGCGACUGAAUCUGGACAAAUAAUACAUGGAAUGAAACAAGGAAAGAGACCUGGAUAAGCGAAUGAGACGUGGCAAUUAAUUAGGCUCUAGGAAAUUAAUCGAUUUUCAACUUUCACGCGUAGAGUUGUAACAAAAGCAGGAAAAAUGUAUAGGAUCACCUUGGAUCCCGACUCGAGGACAAGAAAUACGCCAGGAUCCACCGAUAUUUGUACCCCUGUCGAUUCGAGACAGGGGGUUUGCGGUUGAUAAAUGACGAAACAAGGAAGAAACGAAGUUGGGGGCGAGUUCCCCAUUGAAAACAUUACGUUCACUGCUGGUUGAAAGGCGUCGACGUCUCGUUGCGCCUCGUAAAUUGCGAAAAGCUCGCAAAGAUGCGCGCUGCACGCUGUCUGCCAUCCUCUUUCAUUUCCCGCGACUUUGUCCCACCCGUUCCGCGUUUCACCGAUACAUUCGCACGCUCCAUUCAACAGAGAGUUUUCAUAAAACCGAAUUUUGUUGGUCGACGGAUACAUUCUUUCUCCCGUCCCCCCCCUUUUUUUUUCUAUAAUAGUCUCGCGUGGACGAAUGUUCUGCUUUAACGAGGAAGUUAAAUUUCGUCGCCGGCACGUAUGAAUUUAAAUACAUUUCCAUGGGAAUGUUCUGAAGUUUCCUGUGUUUUUUUUCUCUCUUUUUCUUUUUCUUUUUUUUUUUUCUUCUUCUAGCGACGUUGUAGUAAAUUUCGAAUUAAGCAAGAGACGAAAUUAAUAAACUGUCUGCCCGUUUAGAAGUUUCUGAAACUACGAAAAGUGAGGGAGGGCAAAGGGAAAUAUGAUUCUGUAUAGAAGAGAGGUCGGUGAACCGCGCGACGGGGGAAAGGAUUCAAUAGUUUCGCCCUCCCCGCCGGUGUGGCCGUGUGAUCGUUUUCAGUUGAGAAGAUUUGUUGGCGGAUAGGACGGAUUACACCGGAGUACCGAAUAACUUAGCCGCGAGUCGUCGUUUCGUUUCCCCGUUUUCGCGAGACAAUGUCGUCCGCGCGACAAAAUGCUUGUGUAUACAAGCGCGGAGUUCGCGAUUCCUAUUAAAUAAACUGCAGACCCGCGUGCUGCUGCAUUUAAGCGAACGAACGCGUCUGGCUGUUUUGUCCCGUUAAUGGCGCAACGCCGCUUUUGUACAACGCACGCAAGAACGAGCACCGCCUUCCUUCCUCCUCUUGCCUUUCGCCUCAUUCCGCGCUUUUCCAAGCUUUGCCAGUCGGCGGGACCACGUUUCGCUUAUGGAUUUCGCCAGGGUUCGAACGAGGGGGCGCACCAACCCAACCAGGCGUGUGUGUCGGACAAAUGAGGGUGGAGAAGGCUUAGAGUGGCUCGCACCAGGGGAGGAGAGUAUUUCGUGCUUUGAAGCCGCUUCCCGGGCCGGAGGAAUGCGUUUAAAAGUUUGCCAACAGCGAGAGUUUAUCGAAGCAUUCGGGAACACCUGGUGUUUUGUAGUUAUACACGUAUAUCCUCGGAUCGAGACUCUCGAAGAAAAGAAUUCCAAGUUAACGGGGUAUUUUGGUAA
Molecule: long non-coding RNA, 2620 nt
Organism: Frieseomelitta varia
Lineage: Eukaryota; Metazoa; Arthropoda; Insecta; Hymenoptera; Apidae
Exons: 3
Source: RefSeq, a predicted model, not a curated record